This 112-nucleotide ribosomal RNA is filed under the name Danio rerio (zebrafish). Lineage: Eukaryota; Metazoa; Chordata; Actinopteri; Cypriniformes; Danionidae. The record is from RNAcentral.
GGUCACAGCUAUAUCACCCUGCAGCCCAAGACCGAUUACCCAGCCAAGCAGGGCUGAGCCUGAUCAGUACCUGGAUGGGAGAUCACAUGGGAAAGCUAGGUUGCUGUUGGAA